This 343-nucleotide ribosomal RNA is filed under the name uncultured Aeromonas sp. RNAcentral describes it as "bacterial SSU rRNA". It matches the Rfam family "Bacterial small subunit ribosomal RNA", at positions 335 to 670 of the family's 1533-position model. Lineage: Bacteria; Pseudomonadati; Pseudomonadota; Gammaproteobacteria; Aeromonadales; Aeromonadaceae. The record is from RNAcentral.
ACUCCUACGGGAGGCAGCAGUGGGGAAUAUUGCACAAUGGGGGAAACCCUGAUGCAGCCAUGCCGCGUGUGUGAAGAAGGCCUUCGGGUUGUAAAGCACUUUCAGCGAGGAGGAAAGGUUGGCAGCUAAUAUCUGUCAGCUGUGACGUUACUCGCAGAAGAAGCACCGGCUAACUCCGUGCCAGCAGCCGCGGUAAUACGGAGGGUGCAAGCGUUAAUCGGAAUUACUGGGCGUAAAGCGCACGCAGGCGGUUGGAUAAGUUAGAUGUGAAAGCCCCGGGCUCAACCUGGGAAUUGCAUUUAAAACUGUUCAGCUAGAGUCUUGUAGAGGGGGGUAGAAUUCC